This 806-nucleotide long non-coding RNA is filed under the name Trifolium pratense (red clover). RNAcentral's name for it is "long non-coding RNA (TPRA_LNC001589)". The record is from RNAcentral. Lineage: Eukaryota; Viridiplantae; Streptophyta; Magnoliopsida; Fabales; Fabaceae.
GGUGAACGAAGAACAAAAUCGCCCAUUCCUUCUCCUCUCUUUAUCUCUCUCGAAACCACCGUUUUUCUUCCGCUUUGAUCGUUUCCAGCACCUCCAUUCUCUCUGUCCCUUUCAAAGUUUUGGAUUCUUUUCCUCAAUUUUCACCGAACGUGUUUCUCAGAAAAACACAGCAAAAGUUUCAAGGUUAGUUUUUUUCCCCUUCACUGUAAAAUCUAGGAAUCUAGGGUUCUUCUCUUCGUGUAUUUUGUUUUCCACGUGUCUUCGUUUGUUAAUUCGAACGCGUGUUAGGUUACAUUUCAAAUUUUAUUCAUCAAUUUAGGAAAUUAGGGUUUAUAUUUUUCUAUAAUAUUGUUGAAUUGUUUUACGCCUCCAGUUUAGUAUUUGAUUAUAAUUUGUUUUGUUGUUUCAUACAUCCUUGUUUGAUUAAGGAUGUCAGGGAUUAUUGUUGGAUUGUUAGUAGUGUUUCUGUUGUAUCUGCAAAAAUUAUGUGUCUGAAAUCCUUGGAAAGGAUCAGUUUUGAGAGUUUUCAGAGUUGUUUAUUUGAUUGCACAUCAUUCCUGAUAAGACAAAACACUUUGACUAUUUGUUGACAGAUAUAUUUUCAGCAUAGAACUUAAAUUUUGUUGUAUUGUAAUGUAGGAUUUUUAAUUUAACCAUUUAUAAUGUUUGUUGUGGGUUUCUUAUGUUGAUUGAUUCUUGCAGAUUUGGUUAACAACUUGGGUAUAAUUGCAUGCAGCCGAACCGUUGUCUUCAUGUAGUUUUCAUUGCAAACAGUGAUCUAGGUCAUGAGAGGUUCAAGUUCAAGC